UCCAUGUGUGUGGAGAGGUCUGUUUCUGGA
RNAcentral lists this non-coding RNA (30 nucleotides) under Macaca fascicularis (crab-eating macaque). RNAcentral also lists the same sequence under 1 other name. Lineage: Eukaryota; Metazoa; Chordata; Mammalia; Primates; Cercopithecidae. The record is from RNAcentral.